RNAcentral lists this ribosomal RNA (160 nucleotides) under uncultured soil bacterium. RNAcentral's name for it is "partial 16S ribosomal RNA". It matches the Rfam family "Bacterial small subunit ribosomal RNA", at positions 355 to 507 of the family's 1533-position model. The record is from RNAcentral.
UGGGGAAUAUUGGACAAUGGGCGCAAGCCUGAUCCAGCCAUGCCGCGUGUGUGAAGAAGGCCUUCGGGUUGUAAAGCACUUUUGUCCGGAAAGAAAAGCUUCCGAUUAAUACUCGGGAGUCAUGACGGUACCGGAAGAAUAAGCACCGGCUAACUUCGUG